Molecule: ribosomal RNA, 468 nt
Filed under: uncultured bacterium
Lineage: Bacteria
Description: partial 16S ribosomal RNA
Rfam family: Bacterial small subunit ribosomal RNA
Source: RNAcentral
GACGAACGCUGGCGGCGUGCUUAACACAUGCAAGUCGAACGGAAAGGCACUGCUUUUGUGGGCUGCCCGAGUGGCGAACGGGUGAGUAACACGUGAGUAACCUGACCUUGACUUUGGGAUAACUUCAGGAAACGGGGGCUAAUACAGGAUCGGAUCCCCCCCUGCAUGGAGGGGGGUGGAAAGUCUAGGCGGUCGGGGAUGGACUCGCGGGUUAUCAGUUUGUUGGUGGGGGAGUGGUUUCCCAAGGCUUUGACGGGUAGCCGGCCUGAGAGGGUGAACGGCGUCAAUGCGACUGAGGGACGGACCAGAGUGGAACAGGGGGCAGUAGGCGGAAAUAUUGCCCAGUGGGACGGAGUGGGAUACGAAGGCCCCCGGGUCGGAAUGCCGGUCUGUGGGGUGUAAACAGCAGUAGCCUGAGACGAAGCGGUAGUGACGGUAAUGAGAGAAGAAGCACCGGCUAACUUCGUG